UGACGGUACCUGACUAAGAAGCCCCGGCUAACUACGUGCCAGCAGCCGCGGUAAUACGUAGGGGGCAAGCGUUAUCCGGAUUUACUGGGUGUAAAGGGAGCGUAGACGGUAUGGCAAGUCUGAAGUGAAAGCCCGGGGCUCAACCCCGGGACUGCUUUGGAAACUGUUAAACUAGAGUGUCGGAGAGGCAAGUGGAAUUCCUAGUGUAGCGGUGAAAUGCGUAGAUAUUAGGAGGAACACCAGUGGCGAAGGCGGCUUGCUGGACGAUGACUGACGUUGAGGCUCGAAAGCGUGGGGAGCAAACAGGAUAGAUACCCUG
This 319-nucleotide ribosomal RNA is filed under the name uncultured bacterium. Its description in RNAcentral is "bacterial SSU rRNA". It matches the Rfam family "Bacterial small subunit ribosomal RNA", at positions 470 to 789 of the family's 1533-position model. The record is from RNAcentral.